GAACCGAUCCUCGGUGCGGUCCGAGGCUUGGAACGGAGAGCGAGUGGACCCGGGGUGAGGCCGGAGAUUGGGAGCUAAACUUUGGGUAAAGGUUGCAAGACCGGCCGGGUGAAUCCUUCCCAUGGCAGAGGUGAAGAGACUGGCGGAGAUUCCGUGAGAUGUUUCAGCUACACGGAGGGUGGCCGGCAUUUCCCUGCCGUGGAUCCGGGCCUAUUGUCUGCAGUUACCUCCCAGAUCUGUUUCCUGCUGUUGGGAGCCCGGAUCUGAGCCGCUGCGGCUGCCUAUGGAUGUCCGGUGCUCUCACCGCUCUCCUGUGCAAUCGGACAGGCUGAAGCCAAGGGAGAAUAAGGGGCAAAGAAGUGGAUCCCAUGCUGUGGCCUCUCCAUACCGAUAUAUCACCUUUCUCACUUUUCAUUGUUUAAGGAUGAGCACAUUACACAUGUGCUGCAUUUACUGAAAUUAUGCAGCGUGUUAAUUGAAAAUAAAGGAUCUCAUGCUUU
Hypanus sabinus (Atlantic stingray) is the source of this 500-nucleotide long non-coding RNA. RefSeq lists it as uncharacterized. The record is from RefSeq and is a predicted model, not a curated record. The transcript is spliced from 2 exons. NCBI's taxonomy places the organism in Eukaryota, Metazoa, Chordata, Chondrichthyes, Myliobatiformes, Dasyatidae.